GCGGCCCUCCGCCCGGGGCCCCCCGGAGCACCUGUAACGCCGCGCCCGUCAGGGGCCGGCCCGAGGCGGGGAGAGGGGCGAGCGGCCGUUGGGACCCCGCGGCCGUUGGGACCCCGCGGCCGUUGGGACCCCCUGGCGGCGGAGCCUGCCUCGGCGCCCCGCCCAGCCCGGCCGCUAACGGUUCCUCGGGGAGGGGGGCGGCUUUCGGGGCGAGGGCUGAGCUGAGGGCGGGGUUGCCCUUCUCCUUCGGCGGCAGGAAAAGCGGGUAUUUCCAGGAAAGCGGUUGCAACCUGUAGGAGCAUCGUCUCGUCUUUUGCGAAACUAGGGUGGCUGAAAGCGGUGGCACAGAGGAAUGGCCUGGGUGAGCCACGGGAAGGUUUUACAGGCUCCAUUCUGGCCCUUCCUGGCCACAUCUCUCUGCACAAGACCUUCUUGAGAACAUCUGGAAGAAGGCUGACAGUUAUGAGCAGAAUUAUACACAGCCAAGCCGGG
Molecule: long non-coding RNA, 492 nt
Organism: Apus apus (common swift)
Lineage: Eukaryota; Metazoa; Chordata; Aves; Apodiformes; Apodidae
Exons: 3
Source: RefSeq, a predicted model, not a curated record